RNAcentral lists this ribosomal RNA (3479 nucleotides) under Trichinella pseudospiralis. Its description in RNAcentral is "eukaryotic LSU rRNA". The stretch from base 1254 to 3479 matches the Rfam family "Eukaryotic large subunit ribosomal RNA". The record is from RNAcentral. Lineage: Eukaryota; Metazoa; Nematoda; Enoplea; Trichinellida; Trichinellidae.
CUGGUGUCAAGCCGGUGAUGUGACUGUUCGGACUGCUGUUGCUGCCGCCGCCACUUGAAAUUAGCUGAGAACUGUCGCCCCCUACACUGAGAUUUGGAAAACAACGUUGCGCAAUACGAUUGACCAUAGUCCUUUCCGGAUGAAAUAAAACCUUGAUUGCCACAUUGCGAUGCGAACGUGUGAUGUGCUGUUUGACUUCUUCUUCCUCGGCUGAUUUCCAGCUGCAAUAAGCACACUGAUACGGUUUGUGAUCGAGAUGUUGCCUUGAGUGUAGAAUCAAAGUUGACAAUUGCUUGGGAACCAUUUCUGAACAAAGCUGACAUUUGGUUUUCAUAUCAUCAACUUUGGCUUGUACCGCGGCAGCUGCUGCAGCUGCAGCCGCAGCUUGUAAAAAUCCCGCCGCUACUAUUGCAGCUGCUGUUUGCGAUGAUUGCAUUUCGUCGUCGUCUUCAAUCAAUUGAUGCUGCUGUUGUUUGAAGUUGUUAUUUUCUACUCGUGAUGAUGAUUCUGCAUAGUUGUUGUUGUUGCUAUUAUUAUUAUUAGUGGUAGUCAUGUCGUCCUCUUCAUCAUCGUCAACUUUCAAUGAUUUGGAAUUGUUCCACUGUGCCAGUGCUGUAACAGCACCAGCAACGGCCAGCUUGUCUGAUGACACCAACGAUGAAGCCAAAGAUCCGUAACACUUCACUGCCAACUCUUGCAAUCCACGCAUACCGUCCGCAGGACAGCAAACAAUUCGAGUUUCUUGACUCUGCGGAUGGGCACUGUGCACGUGCUGUUUGGCGCGAAUCAGAAAAUUAGUAGCGUAUGUGCAAACGGGACAGUGGAAAAAUUUGUUAGCAAUAUGACUGGGCAAAUGGUCGGUCAACGCCGUCUCAGUGCACGGUAUCGACUGCGAGCAGAGCAGACAGACGACAGUAUCUUUGGUGGUUCGCCCGUGGCCGGCACUGGCAACGUUGACCGAACCGUCGGCUGCCAACGCGUUCACCACCGCCGCCACAGCCGGAGGCAUACUGCUGGCAUUGGUACCGGAUAAAGUGGACGACGCUUCGCCGGCAAAGCCGGCCAAAAAUGGAAAGCAACGCAAUUUCAUGGUCACGAUGCGAUCCUUGAUGCCCGGCACUGGUUUGUGGAUGAUUUUCACCGGCAAGCCGCUGUGCACUUGUUGGAUGUGUCUGGUAACUUUGCCCCGAAUGUACGACUGGUAUGUGCAAUAGUGGCAAUGGUAGGGCUUGUAGUCGAGGUGUUUGCAGGCGUGAUUUUCGAACGAGCUCGGAUUGUUGGCAAUGUACGUACUGCACAAGCAGCACAUCUUCUUGCCGAGGCUGGGCAAUUCCAGCGCCGGAUCACCGGCUGAGAAUGGUUCCUUUUUCACCGCAACCAACUCCCGUUCACCGUUCACAGUGCUGCUGCUGCUGCUGCUGCUGCUGCUGCUAUUGUUUACUUGCUGUUGUUGUGUGUUGUUGUACACACACACCCACACAAUUCUGUGUGCAGUUGUCGUAUGUUUUCGAAAGGGAAUCCGGUUGAUAUUCCGGAACCGAGUAACGGAGACAAAGAGUAGCGCUUUAAUCUUCCGGUUGGCGUUCAACUCAAUCGCGCGGUAACGCAAGCGAACUCGGAAAAUGACCGUCGUGAGUUUCGAAAAGAGUUUUCUUUUCUUUUUAAGGGACGCAUUCCCUGGAACCGGGUUGUCCGGAGAUAGGGAUUCUGGUAUCCAUAAAACGCCGACUCUUUCACGGUGUUCGGAGCGCUCUCGUCGGUACGUGAAAAUCCGAGCGACGCCUGGUAAAUCUCGUACUUGGUCGUACUGAUAUCCGCAGCAGGUCUCCAAGGUGAAUAGCCUCUGGCCGAUAGAAUAAUGUAGGUAAGGGAAGUCGGCAAAACGGAUCCGUAACUUCGGAACAAGGAUUGGCUCUAAGGGCUGGGCCGAUCGGGCUGAGGUUUCAAGCGUGCAGUGUAUGCUUGGCUGAGCUGUGCUGAGGAUUGAUUAGCUUGGUGCCGUUUGUUGACCCAAGCGGCUGUCCAGGUGGUCAUGUCUGAAGCAAAGCUGGCCGACAGACCGGCACGUGCAGAACCUGAGCUGCGCGGCUGUCAGUUUAUUUGUACAGACCGUUUCGGUCGGCAUUCAACAGCCAACUUAGAACUGGCACGGACACAAGGAAUCUGACUGUAUAAUUAAAACAAAGCAUUGCGAUGGCCGAUGAUCGGUGUUGACGCAAUGUGAUUUCUGCCCAGUGCUCUGAAUGUCAAAGUGAAGAAAUUCAACCAAGCGCGGGUAAACGGCGGGAGUAACUAUGACUCUCUUAAGGUAGCCAAAUGCCUCGUCAUCUAAUUAGUGACGCGUAUGAAUGGAUCAACAAGAUUCCUUCUGUCCCUAUCUACUAUCUAGCGAAACCACAGCCAAGGGAACGGGCUUGGCAAAAUCAGCGGGGAAAGAAGACCCUGUUGAGCUUGACUCUAGUCUGACUCUGUGAAGAGACAUGAAAGGUGUAGCAUAGGUGGGAGGCUGCAGCCGGGCACUGCUUGCGCGGUGUCUCUGUGGUCGCCAAUGAAAUACCACUACUUUGAUCGUUUCUUUACUUAUUCGGUAAAGCGAAAAAAUUGUGGCCAAUUUUGCGGUCUCGCCGCUGUUGGUCAUUGUUUUAAUGUUGGAUUGAAGCUUCGUUUGUAGCCGUCGUUUUGUGUCGCCGUUUGACGUGCAUUCGCAGUGGUGUGGGUUUCUUGGCUCGCGCGCGGCUAGUGUCGUCAACAGCGGACGACCGGCGAUUGGUUUGAAGUGAUUCGCUCCGGAAACAGUGUCAGACGGGGAGUUUGACUGGGGCGGUACAUCUGUUAAACGAUAACGCAGGUGUCCUAAGGUAAGCUCAGCGAGGACAGAAACCUCGCCUAGAGUAAACGGGCACAAGCUUACUUGAUUUUGAUUUCCAGUACGAAUAAAAACCGCGAAAGCGUGGCCUAUCGAUCCUUUUGAUUGUGUAGAUUUCACGCAAGAGGUGUCAGAAAAGUUACCACAGGGAUAACUGGCUUGUGGCAGCCAAGCGUCCAUAGCGACGUUGCUUUUUGAUCCUUCGAUGUCGGCUCUUCCUAUCAUUGCGAAGCAGAAUUCGCCAAGCGUUGGAUUGUUCACCCACCAAUAGGGAACGUGAGCUGGGUUUAGACCGUCGUGAGACAGGUUAGUUUUACCCUACUGAUGACAAGUCGUUGCGAUAGUAAUCCUGCUCAGUACGAGAGGAACCGCGGGAUCAGACAUUUGGUUCAUGCGCUCGGCUGAAAGGCCGGUGGCGCGAAGCUAGCAUCUGCAAGAUUAUGACUGAACGCCUCUAAGUCAGAAUCUUUUCUAGUCAUUGGCAACGAUAAGUUGCGUCCGGACUCGAUGCGAGGAAACGACUAGGCUUUGUUGUGCGUCUUUUUUGCUCAGCGAAGCCGUCAUUAUACCACGGUAGCAGGCAGUUGGGAUAGGUUGCGAAAAAGCAAUUUUU